AGAACCCAACAAACUGGACAAUUUCUUUAUAGAAAAAGGCUAUGAGUCCCGAUGACUUGUUUAUCCAUCCAUGCCAUGCAAGAUGCAACACGCAGCGCCAGGGCUAGGUAGCAGAGUAGACAGAAGCCUAGGCCAGGGCGUGAGGCGGUGAGGGGAUGCUGGAUGCAUGAUGCAAAGGCCAUCCAAUCCAACACCAACGCUUAUUACUUGCACAGUUGCAC
This 221-nucleotide long non-coding RNA is filed under the name Setaria italica (foxtail millet). RNAcentral describes it as "long non-coding RNA (SITA_LNC002096)". Lineage: Eukaryota; Viridiplantae; Streptophyta; Magnoliopsida; Poales; Poaceae. The record is from RNAcentral.